Molecule: ribosomal RNA, 579 nt
Filed under: uncultured Aspergillus
Lineage: Eukaryota; Fungi; Ascomycota; Eurotiomycetes; Eurotiales; Aspergillaceae
Description: eukaryotic LSU rRNA
Rfam family: 5.8S ribosomal RNA (bases 209-362)
Source: RNAcentral
UCUUGGUCAUUUAGAGGAAGUAAAAGUCGUAACAAGGUUUCCGUAGGUGAACCUGCGGAAGGAUCAUUACCUAGAGUUGUAGGCUUUGCCUGCUAUCUCUUACCCAUGUCUUUUGAGUACCUUCGUUUCCUCGGCGGGUCCGCCCGCCGAUUGGACAAUUUAAACCAUUUGCAGUUGCAAUCAGCGUCUGAAAAAACUUAAUAGUUACAACUUUCAACAACGGAUCUCUUGGUUCUGGCAUCGAUGAAGAACGCAGCGAAAUGCGAUAAGUAGUGUGAAUUGCAGAAUUCAGUGAAUCAUCGAAUCUUUGAACGCACAUUGCGCCCCUUGGUAUUCCAUGGGGCAUGCCUGUUCGAGCGUCAUUUGUACCUUCAAGCUCUGCUUGGUGUUGGGUGUUUGUCUCGCCUCUGCGUGUAGACUCGCCUCAAAACAAUUGGCAGCCGGCGUAUUGAUUUCGGAGCGCAGUACAUCUCGCGCUUUGCACUCAGAACGACGACGUCCAAAAGUACAUUUUUACACUCUUGACCUCGGAUCAGGUAGGGAUACCCGCUGAACUUAAGCAUAUCAAUAAGCGGAGGA